UCAGGCGGCCGGGCGGUCGCUUCCGUCCAAUGGCGAAAGCCGGGCGGGAGAGGAAAGUCCGGGCUCCAUGGAGGCAAGGCGCCGGGGAAAGCCCGGCGGGCCGGGCAACCGGUUCAGGGACAGCGCCGCAGAAAUCAGACCGCCAGACCCGGCUUCGGCCCCGUCUGGCAAGGGUGAAACGGUGGGGUAAGAGCCCACCGCCCCGACCGCAAGGAAGGGGGCACGGCAAGCCCCGCCUGGAGCAAGACCGAAUAGGGACGGGCGUUCCGGUUCUGCCGGAACAGGCGCGCCUCCGCGCUGCCGUCCGGGUAGGUCGCUUGAGGCGGCGCGCAAGCGCCGUCCCAGAGGAAUGGCCGCCGCGUUCUUUCCGUUCCGGAAAGAGCGGCACAGAACCCGGCUUACAGGCCGCCUGACACG
This 417-nucleotide RNase P RNA is filed under the name Hyphomonadaceae bacterium BL14. RNAcentral describes it as "RNase P RNA component class A". It matches the Rfam family "Bacterial RNase P class A". From Rfam's summary of the family: Ribonuclease P (RNase P) is a ubiquitous endoribonuclease, found in archaea, bacteria and eukarya as well as chloroplasts and mitochondria. Its best characterised activity is the generation of mature 5'-ends of tRNAs by cleaving the 5'-leader elements of precursor-tRNAs. The record is from RNAcentral. Lineage: Bacteria; Pseudomonadati; Pseudomonadota; Alphaproteobacteria; Hyphomonadales; Hyphomonadaceae.